AUUCCUACGGGAGGCAGCAGUGAGGAAUAUUGGUCAAUGGGCGCAAGCCUGAACCAGCCAUGCCGCGUGCAGGAAGACGGCCCUACGGGUUGUAAACUGCUUCUAUACGGGAAUAAACCUCUUUACGUGUAAAGAGUUGAAUGUACUGUAAGAAUAAGGAUCGGCUAACUCCGUGCCAGCAGCCGCGGUAAUACGGAGGAUCCAAGCGUUAUCCGGAUUUAUUGGGUUUAAAGGGUGCGUAGGCGGCCUAUUAAGUCAGGGGUGAAAGACGGUGGCUCAACCAUCGCAGUGCCCUUGAUACUGAUGGGCUUGAUUACACUUGAGGUAGGCGGAAUGUGACGAGUAGCGGUGAAAUGCAUAGAUAUGUCACAGAACACCAAUUGCGAAGGCAGCUUACUAAGGUGUUAAUGACGCUGAGGCACGAAAGCGUGGGGAUCAAACAGGAUUAGAUACCCUGGUAGUCCACGCCCUAAACGAUGAAUACUCGAUGUUAGCGAUAUACCGUUAGCGUCAAAGCGAAAGCGUUAAGUAUUCCACCUGGGGAGUACGCCCGCAAGGGUGAAACUCAAAGGAAUUGACGGGGGCCCGCACAAGCGGAGGAGCAUGUGGUUUAAUUCGAUGAUACGCGAGGAACCUUACCCGGGCUUGAAAGUUACUGAAGUAUCCAGAGAUGGAUGCGUCCGCAAGGACAGGAAACUAGGUGCUGCAUGGCUGUCGUCAGCUCGUGCCGUGAGGUGUUGGGUUAAGUCCCGCAACGAGCGCAACCCCUAUGUUUAGUUGCCAGCAUGUAAUGGUGGGGACUCUAAACAGACUGCCUGUGCAAACAGAGAGGAAGGAGGGGACGACGUCAAGUCAUCAUGGCCCUUACGUCCGGGGCUACACACGUGCUACAAUGGGCAGUACAGAGGGCAGCUACCUGGUAACAGGAUGCCAAUCUCAAAAAGCUGUUCACAGUUCGGAUUGAGGUCUGCAACUCGACCUCAUGAAGUUGGAUUCGCUAGUAAUCGCAUAUCAGCAAUGAUGCGGUGAAUACGUUCCCGGGCCUUGUACACACCGCCAUCCAUAUGAC
This 1069-nucleotide ribosomal RNA is filed under the name uncultured bacterium. RNAcentral's name for it is "bacterial SSU rRNA". It matches the Rfam family "Bacterial small subunit ribosomal RNA", at positions 335 to 1405 of the family's 1533-position model. The record is from RNAcentral.